This 71-nucleotide transfer RNA is filed under the name Olea europaea subsp. europaea. It matches the Rfam family "tRNA". From Rfam's summary of the family: Transfer RNA (tRNA) molecules are approximately 80 nucleotides in length. Their secondary structure includes four short double-helical elements and three loops (D, anti-codon, and T loops). The record is from Rfam by way of RNAcentral. Lineage: Eukaryota; Viridiplantae; Streptophyta; Magnoliopsida; Lamiales; Oleaceae.
GUGGAUAUGGUCGAAUGGCAAAAUUUCUCUUUGCGAAGGAGAAGAUGCGGGUUCGAUUUCCACUAUCCGCC